RNAcentral lists this transfer RNA (72 nucleotides) under Camelus bactrianus (Bactrian camel). It matches the Rfam family "tRNA". From Rfam's summary of the family: Transfer RNA (tRNA) molecules are approximately 80 nucleotides in length. RNAcentral also lists the same sequence under 2 other names. Lineage: Eukaryota; Metazoa; Chordata; Mammalia; Artiodactyla; Camelidae. The record is from Rfam by way of RNAcentral.
GUGGGUAUAGCACAGUGGUGGAGCACAUGCUUAGCAUGCAUGAAGUCCUGGGUUCAAUCCCCGGUACCUUCA